CAAGAGGUGUAUGAACAACUAGACCUGCUAGCUCAAAUAACUGAAGAUAAAAUCCUCAGACCUCUUA
RNAcentral lists this transfer RNA (67 nucleotides) under Atlantolacerta andreanskyi. RNAcentral describes it as "tRNA-Ser". The record is from RNAcentral. Lineage: Eukaryota; Metazoa; Chordata; Lepidosauria; Squamata; Lacertidae.